AGACUCGGGUCUAUCGGAAUCGGAAGUCAUUGGGAAGAAAGAGAAAUUCAAGAUCCGGCGAAGAAGGGUUUUGGUGAAGGAACGUAGAGAGAGGUUUUGGUUAAAGUACAAAAGUAAAAGAAGAGAGUAAUGGUGAAAAGUAGUUACCUCAAGCCAAUGAUGAAACCGCCUUGGAAGUCGUGUGGGAAGUGGGAAGGUUUUUCCCGUUUUAAUAGUAAUUAAUCAAUAUACGGUCAUAAUGACGACAGAUGUCACUCGGUUAAAAAUGGCUAGUGCCGAAAUUAAAGGAGUGAUGGGAUUUUCGGCGGGAAAUCAGAAAGAUUCUCGAGCGCAAUCUUUGGCCACUUGAGCAUUUAAAGUCCUCCGAAUUGGAAUAGCACUUCGAAGAACUUGGGGGGCUAAUUGUUGGUGUCGGAUCCCGCACCAGAAGUACGAGACCAACCAAAGAUUGCCACGUAAUCAAGCGGGUGGCCCAUGAAGAAUGAAGCCCAUUAGGCCCGUGAACCGAGGGGACGGUCGAAGUGGUUGUCAUCACUUCGACCAUCCGAAGUGACUGCACUGUGGUACGAGUUCGGUGUAGAAGAUGCGGGCAAGUCGGUUCAAGGACAUUUGGGCCGAAAAGGCGAGGCCCAUGAAGAUCAGAGUCAACUCAAAUUCAAACGUUGAGCAUUAAAGUCGAAGAAUCAAAACGGACACAUUUAAGAGGGAAUAAUUGUACUUAAUUAUUCAUUUUAAUGUCGCUUAUCUAUGUAUAAAUAUAGAGGUCAAUGGCCAUGUAAAGGGGACCUUCCUCUGAAGAGAGAAAUAAUAUAGCAAUUUUCGUAUCAAUUUACUAGUUUUUAUACGUUCAUUUUUGUCCCUCAAGAAUAAUCUUUCCCACUUAACAAAAUACUUGAGUGUGUGAAUCCGACAUCCACAA
RNAcentral lists this long non-coding RNA (919 nucleotides) under Arabidopsis lyrata. RNAcentral describes it as "long non-coding RNA (ALYR_LNC000389)". The record is from RNAcentral. Lineage: Eukaryota; Viridiplantae; Streptophyta; Magnoliopsida; Brassicales; Brassicaceae.